RNAcentral lists this ribosomal RNA (1371 nucleotides) under marine metagenome. RNAcentral describes it as "bacterial LSU rRNA". It matches the Rfam family "Bacterial large subunit ribosomal RNA", at positions 1395 to 2751 of the family's 2925-position model. The record is from RNAcentral.
GGCGAGGCAGAAAUGCGUAGUCGAUGGGAAACGGGUUAAUAUUCCCGUACUUCUAGUUACUGCGAUGGGGGGACGGAGAAGGCUAGGCCAGCAAGGCGUUGGUUGUCCUUGUUUAAGGUAGUAGGCUGAUUUCUUAGGCAAAUCCGGGAAAUCUAGGCCGAGAACUGAUGACGAGCGUUCUUUUAGAAUGCGAAGUGGUUGAUGCCAUGCUUCCAAGAAAAGCCUCUAAGCUUCAGGUAACUAGGAACCGUACCCCAAACCGACACAGGUGGUCGGGUAGAGAAUACCAAGGCGCUUGAGAGAACUCGGGUGAAGGAACUAGGCAAAAUGGCACCGUAACUUCGGGAGAAGGUGCGCCGGUGAGGGUGAAGGACUUGCUCCGUAAGCUCUGGCCGGUCGAAGAUACCAGGUGGCUGCGACUGUUUAUUAAAAACACAGCACUCUGCAAACACGAAAGUGGACGUAUAGGGUGUGACGCCUGCCCGGUGCCGGAAGGUUAAUUGAUGGGGUUAGCUUAGGCGAAGCUCUUGAUCGAAGCCCCGGUAAACGGCGGCCGUAACUAUAACGGUCCUAAGGUAGCGAAAUUCCUUGUCGGGUAAGUUCCGACCUGCACGAAUGGCGUAACGAUGGCGGCGCUGUCUCCACCCGAGACUCAGUGAAAUUGAAAUCGCUGUGAAGAUGCAGUGUACCCGCGGCUAGACGGAAAGACCCCGUGAACCUUUACUAUAGCUUUGCACUGGACUUUGAAUUUGCUUGUGUAGGAUAGGUGGGAGGCUUUGAAGCGUGGACGCCAGUUCGCGUGGAGCCAUCCUUGAAAUACCACCCUGGCAACUUUGAGGUUCUAACUCUGGUCCGUUAUCCGGAUCGAGGACAGUGUAUGGUGGGUAGUUUGACUGGGGCGGUCUCCUCCCAAAGAGUAACGGAGGAGUACGAAGGUGCGCUCAGACCGGUCGGAAAUCGGUCGUAGAGUAUAAAGGCAAAAGCGCGCUUGACUGCGAGACAGACACGUCGAGCAGGUACGAAAGUAGGUCUUAGUGAUCCGGUGGUUCUGUAUGGAAGGGCCAUCGCUCAACGGAUAAAAGGUACUCCGGGGAUAACAGGCUGAUACCGCCCAAGAGUUCAUAUCGACGGCGGUGUUUGGCACCUCGAUGUCGGCUCAUCACAUCCUGGGGCUGUAGUCGGUCCCAAGGGUAUGGCUGUUCGCCAUUUAAAGUGGUACGCGAGCUGGGUUUAGAACGUCGUGAGACAGUUCGGUCCCUAUCUGCCGUGGGCGUUUGAGAUUUGAGAAGAGCUGCUCCUAGUACGAGAGGACCGGAGUGGACGAACCUCUGGUGUUCCGGUUGUCACGCCAGUGGCAUUGCCGGGUAGCUA